AUCCAGCUGACGAGUUCCAAAUAGAAAGAAACGCGCGUCCUGGAA
Molecule: non-coding RNA, 45 nt
Filed under: Schistosoma haematobium
Lineage: Eukaryota; Metazoa; Platyhelminthes; Trematoda; Strigeidida; Schistosomatidae
Source: RNAcentral